UUUUUCAUAGUCUGGUAAUGACUGUGAGGGCUGCAGUAAUGAUGUGGUAUGCUAAGUACCUCUGGGGUGCAUAGGGUUAGUGUUUUGUGUGCUUUAAAGAUGUCUCGCAACUGGGCCUCAGAUAAUUGGUGGCCUAUAUCUUUUUCCCAUGCUGAUAUAAAUAAGGGAGGGGUUUUGGGGGGUCGGUUGUGUUCUGAGGCAUAAAUCAUGGAGAUGAGUUUCCUGGCUGGUUUAGCAGCUAUGCUAAUCUGCUCUACUGCCUUCCAGGUUGGGUUAGAUAUCGUUGUGGAUGUAUGUGGUUUUGUUUGUUUGGUUUUUUGUUUUGUUUUUCUGGAGGGCAAACCAUGAUUGUAGUUGCAUAUAGGAGAAGGUGGCUGUCGUUGGUAGUGCGAACCCCUGUUUAAGGUCUGAGCAUUGUUUUAGUUUGGGUCCUUGCAUUAUUUGCGACAGUGUUCGUAUGCCAUGUCUCUGACAGAUUUUGUAGUUGAAGUCUGAUAUGUAGAAUUUUAUUGAUUCCAGUGGGAGUGCUGGGGAUAUUGAGUUUGGUUUGCCCAUCUUCGUCCUGUAAUCAUCCCAUAUGGAGAGGGUUAAAGCAGUUGUGGGUAGCAUAAGAGCGUAUUUUGAUGUUUGGGAUUUCGGUGUCCAUGCUAGUGUUGAUAGGGGUACUCCAUCUGUGUAACUUGUUUCUAAUGUAAGCCAUGAGCUGUGUUCGCAAUGGUGGGGAAUUGCUAGUAGUGGGACAAUGUGAGCUGCACUGUAGUAUCCUUUUGACAUCUGGCAUUCCCAUUCCGCCAUUAUUGAAUUGUCGGUGCAUGGUGUCUUUCGCUACUCGUGGUUUUUUGUUUUCCCAUACAUAGUAGUUUAGGAGGGUUUGUAGGUUUUGUAUGUAUGUCUUCGGUAGUUUGAGUGGGAGUGUUCGGAAUAGAUAUUUAAUUUUUGGUAGGAUCACCUUUUUUAUUGAGGCUAUUCGUCCUGCCCAUGAGAUAAAUUUCCCCUUCCAACUUUGUAUGAUAUUUUGGAUUUCACCUCGUAGUUUGCUUUAUAUAGUCUGGAGGGCGUGAUUGUGAAGUUUACCCCUAAAAAAUGUUAUAUUGUCUUGCCUCCAAUCGUAGGUGAAGUUGGCUUUUAAGUGUUGCAUGUCUUGUGCAGGGACGUUAAUGCCCAGGGCUAGGGUUUUUGUGAUAUUCAGUUUGUAAUAUGAGCAUUGGCUAUAUUGGGUGAGAAUUUUAUGAAAAUUCGGGAGGAAUAUGUGUGGUUGCUCUAGAGUUAGAAGGAUAGCAUCCGCAAACAGCGAAAGUUUGUAU
Molecule: non-coding RNA, 1304 nt
Organism: Pelobates cultripes (western spadefoot toad)
Lineage: Eukaryota; Metazoa; Chordata; Amphibia; Anura; Pelobatidae
Source: the annotation of a GenBank genome assembly